CAAGCCUAUAGUCUGUAGAUACGCCACUGAUUUGUUUGGGUCUUUUCCUUCACAGAAAGGAGGACGCUGCCAGCAGACAGAGCAAGGAAAAAUAACUUUGUGUUGAGCUCAAUGAAUUCAAUUCAGCUGGUGUUGGAAGAGUGAGGUUUUUCUGUUUUUCCUCUCAACAUGCCAAGAAGGCUUUUGCAGUAAGGACUAGCUAAAAUGUAAUUCUGCAGAGCCCCACAACCUUGGAAAUCACUUUCAUAUAGAACCACAACUAUGUAAGGGCUUGCCUGGAGAGAGCAAGACAAACAAGCCUUCUGUCACAGGAGAAGGCAAGCUUUUUCCCACAUGGGCCUCCAGAGAGAGCACAGAGUCAGAG
Long non-coding RNA from Melospiza melodia melodia, 364 nucleotides. RefSeq lists it as uncharacterized. NCBI's taxonomy places the organism in Eukaryota, Metazoa, Chordata, Aves, Passeriformes, Passerellidae. The transcript has 3 exons. The record is from RefSeq and is a predicted model, not a curated record.